GGAUAUCAUCGUAUACUGUAAGUUGGCUAUGAGACACUACAGUAUAGAUGAUGUACUCCCCGGGCUG
This 67-nucleotide microRNA precursor is filed under the name Corvus moneduloides (New Caledonian crow). RNAcentral's name for it is "miRNA (ENSCMUG00000017655.1)". It matches the Rfam family "mir-144 microRNA precursor family", at positions 11 to 78 of the family's 78-position model. The record is from RNAcentral. Lineage: Eukaryota; Metazoa; Chordata; Aves; Passeriformes; Corvidae.